Molecule: unclassified non-coding RNA, 431 nt
Filed under: fungal sp.
Lineage: Eukaryota; Fungi
Description: partial internal transcribed spacer region
Rfam family: Eukaryotic small subunit ribosomal RNA (bases 1-44)
Source: RNAcentral
GUCGUAACAAGGUUUCCGUAGGUGAACCUGCGGAAGGAUCAUUACCACACCAACCAAAGGGGGGCGAAGUUUCUUUUUGGGGAAAGGUGAGAGGGGAGGGAGCUUUCGUGGCUUCUUUCUCUUCCUCCUUCCUUUUAGAGGUUUCUCUCCCCCCCCUUUGAUUACCCACCCCUUUGUGAACUUGUGCUGUUUUAUCCCCAUAACUAAAACCUCUCCUUUUCUAUGUAUUCCCAAAGAGUUCCUCUCCUGGUCUUGACCGGGGAAGGGGUUUGAAGGAACAGAAAGGAGAGAACCCCCUUAUACACCACUUCAAACAAAACGACAACCAAGACUAUUACUGAAACCGAAAGUGUUACUGUUUUUUGACAAAGCAGUCUCUUACAACUGACAAAAACAAUAAACAACUUUCAGCGAUGGAUAUCUUGGCUCUC